This 373-nucleotide ribosomal RNA is filed under the name uncultured organism. Its description in RNAcentral is "partial 16S ribosomal RNA". It matches the Rfam family "Bacterial small subunit ribosomal RNA", at positions 527 to 896 of the family's 1533-position model. The record is from RNAcentral.
GUAGGUGGCAAGCGUUGUCCGGAAUUAUUGGGCGUAAAGCGCGCGCAGGCGGUCCUUUAAGUCUGAUGUGAAAGCCCACGGCUCAACCAUGGAGGGUCAUUGGAAACUGGGGGACUUGAGUACCGAAGAGGAAAGCGGAAUUCCAAGUGUAGCGGUGAAAUGCGUAGAGAUUUGGAGGAACACCAGUGGCGAAGGCGGCUUUCUGGUCUGUAACUGACGCUGAGGCGCGAAAGCGUGGGGAGCAAACAGGGAUUAGAUACCCUGGUAGUCCACGCCGUAAACGAUGAGUGCUAAGUGUUAGGGGGUUUCCGCCCCCUUAGUGCUGCAGCUAACGCAUUAAGCACUCCGCCUGGGGAGUACGGCCGCAAGGCUG